AGAGUUUGAUCCUGGCUCAGGAUGAACGCUAGCGACAGGCCUAACACAUGCAAGUCGAGGGGCAGCACUGAGAAAGCUUGCUUUUUCUGGUGGCGACCGGCGCACGGGUGCGUAACAGGUGUGCAAUCUGUCCAUAAUCGGGGAAUAGCCCACUGAAAGGUGGAUUAAUGCUCCAUGUGAGUUUAGAAGGCAUCUUCUUUACUUGAAACGUAAGGAUUAUGGGUGAGCACGCUUCUGAUUAGCUAGUUGGCGGGGUAACGGCCCACCAAGGCGACGAUCAGUAGGGGUUCUGAGAGGAAGGUCCCCCACAUUGGAACUGAGACACGGUCCAAACUCCUACGGGAGGCAGCAGUGAGGAAUAUUGGUCAAUGGGCGCAAGCCUGAACCAGCCAAGUCGCGUGAAGGAUGAAGGUUCUAUGGAUUGUAAACUUCUUUUGCAUGAGGGUAAAGGACGGUACGUGUACCGUUUUGCAAGUAUCAUGCGAAUAAGCAUCGGCUAACUCCGUGCCAGCAGCCGCGGUAAUACGGAGGAUGCGAGCGUUAUCCGGAUUUAUUGGGUUUAAAGGGUGCGUAGGCGGGUUGUUAAGUCAGUGGUGAAAGUUUGCGGCUCAACCGUAAAAUUGCCAUUGAAACUGGCGACCUUGAGUGUAAAUGAGGUAGGCGGAAUGUGAUGUGUAGCGGUGAAAUGCUUAGAUAUGUCACAGAACCCCGAUUGCGAAGGCAGCUUACCAAGAUACAACUGACGCUGAGGCACGAAAGCGUGGGUAUCAAACAGGAUUAGAUACCCUGGUAGUCCACGCAGUAAACGAUGAAUACUAGCUGUUGGCGAUAUAAUGUCAGCGAUACAGCGAAAGUGUUAAGUAUUCCACCUGGGGAGUACGCCGGCAACGGUGAAACUCAAAGGAAUUGACGGGGGCCCGCACAAGCGGAGGAACAUGUGGUUUAAUUCGAUGAUACGCGAGGAACCUUACCCGGGCUUGAAAGUUAGUGACGGCAGUGGAAACAUUGCUUCCCUUCGGGGCCUCUGUGAAGGUGCUGCAUGGUUGUCGUCAGCUCGUGCUGUGAGGUGUCGGCUUAAGUGCCGUAACGAGCGCAACCCCUGUUGCCAGUUGCCAUCCUUUAGUUGGGCACUCUGGCGAGACUGCCACCGUAAGGUGUGAGGAAGGUGGGGAUGACGUCAAAUCAGCACGGCCCUUACGUCCGGGGCUACACACGUGUUACAAUGGGUGAUACAGAGAGUCGUGCAUGCGCAAGUAUGUUCCAAUCUUUAAAGUCAUCCUCAGUUCGGACUGGGGUCUGCAACCCGACCCCACGAAGCUGGAUUCGCUAGUAAUCGCGCAUCAGCCAUGGCGCGGUGAAUACGUUACCGGGCCUUGCACACACCGCCCGUCA
Molecule: ribosomal RNA, 1392 nt
Filed under: uncultured bacterium
Lineage: Bacteria
Description: 16S ribosomal RNA
Rfam family: Bacterial small subunit ribosomal RNA
Source: RNAcentral